UGACGUAGGGCAUGGAAGGGCCCCCCAGU
This 29-nucleotide small RNA is filed under the name Bombyx mori (domestic silkworm). RNAcentral describes it as "ovarian small RNA-3620". The record is from RNAcentral. Lineage: Eukaryota; Metazoa; Arthropoda; Insecta; Lepidoptera; Bombycidae.